RNAcentral lists this ribosomal RNA (253 nucleotides) under uncultured bacterium. Its description in RNAcentral is "partial 16S ribosomal RNA". It matches the Rfam family "Bacterial small subunit ribosomal RNA", at positions 524 to 776 of the family's 1533-position model. The record is from RNAcentral.
CACGUAGGGCGCAAGCGUUGUCCGGAAUUAUUGGGCGUAAAGAGCUCGUAGGCGGUCUGUUGCGUCCGCUGUGAAAACUCGGGGCUUAACCCCGAGCCUGCAGUGGAUACGGGCAGACUAGAGGUAGGUAGGGGAGAAUGGAAUUCCCGGUGUAGCGGUGAAAUUCGUAGAUAUCGGGAGGAACACCAGUGGCGAAGGCGGCGACCUGGGCCAAUAUUGACGCUGAGGUGCGAAAGCGUGGGGAGCAAACAGG